RNAcentral lists this ribosomal RNA (330 nucleotides) under uncultured bacterium. RNAcentral describes it as "bacterial SSU rRNA". It matches the Rfam family "Bacterial small subunit ribosomal RNA", at positions 568 to 898 of the family's 1533-position model. The record is from RNAcentral.
UGUGCAGGCGGUCUUCUAAGUUUGGUGUGAAAUCUCCCGGCUUAACUGGGAGGGUGCGCCGAAUACUGAAAGACUAGAGUGCGGGAGAGGAGAGUGGAAUUCCUGGUGUAGCGGUGAAAUGCGUAGAUAUCAGGAGGAACACCGGUGGUGUAGACGGCUCUCUGGACCGUAACUGACGCUGAAACACGAAAGCGUGGGUAGCAAACAGGAUUAGAUACCCUGGUAGUCCACGCCCUAAACGAUGCAUAUUUGGUGUGGGCAGUUCAGUCUGUCCGUGCCGGAGCUAACGCGUUAAAUAUGCCGCCUGGGGAGUACAGUCGCAAGGCUGAA